This 72-nucleotide transfer RNA is filed under the name Pangasius djambal. Its description in RNAcentral is "tRNA-Glu". It matches the Rfam family "tRNA". Rfam says of the family: Transfer RNA (tRNA) molecules are approximately 80 nucleotides in length. Their secondary structure includes four short double-helical elements and three loops (D, anti-codon, and T loops). The record is from RNAcentral. Lineage: Eukaryota; Metazoa; Chordata; Actinopteri; Siluriformes; Pangasiidae.
UCCCUGGAGGACUAGUGGUAAGGCCACAGUGCUCUCACUGCUGCGGCCCAGGUUCGAUUCCCAGCCAGGGAA